RNAcentral lists this ribosomal RNA (162 nucleotides) under Cranichis ciliilabia. Its description in RNAcentral is "5.8S ribosomal RNA". It matches the Rfam family "5.8S ribosomal RNA". Rfam says of the family: 5.8S ribosomal RNA (5.8S rRNA) is a component of the large subunit of the eukaryotic ribosome. It is transcribed by RNA polymerase I as part of the 45S precursor that also contains 18S and 28S rRNA. The record is from RNAcentral. Lineage: Eukaryota; Viridiplantae; Streptophyta; Magnoliopsida; Asparagales; Orchidaceae.
UAUGACUCUCGGCAAUGGAUAUCUUGGCUCUUGCAUCGAUGAAGAGCGCAGCGAAAUGCGAUACGUGGUGUGAAUUGCAGAAUCCCGUGAACCAUCGAGUUUUUGAACGCAAGUUGCGCCCGAGGCCAAUUGGUUGAGGGCACGUCCGCCUGGGCGUCAAGC